This 226-nucleotide long non-coding RNA is filed under the name Elaeis guineensis (African oil palm). RNAcentral describes it as "long non-coding RNA (EGUI_LNC056994)". Lineage: Eukaryota; Viridiplantae; Streptophyta; Magnoliopsida; Arecales; Arecaceae. The record is from RNAcentral.
AUCCUAAGAAAACUAAAGAAUAUUAUUUCUACUACCCUACUGAACAAAAGAUAAUUGUCAGUAGGCAUGCCAUAUUCUUGAAAAAAAAAUUCAUCCAAAAAGGAGGUAGUGGGAGGAGUAUUGAACUUAAGGAAGUUCAAAACCUAUAAAGUGUUCCAAAAUUACCAAUGAAAGUUUCUCAACCAGAAGUAUCGAGUAAUGAGGUAUAUUCGAAAUAUACACCUCC